GACGAACGCUGGCGGCGUGCCUAAUACAUGCAAGUAGAACGCUGAAGGAGGAGCUUGCUUCUCUGGAUGAGUUGCGAACGGGUGAGUAACGCGUAGGUAACCUGCCUGGUAACGGGGGAUAACUAUUGGAAACGAUAGCUAAUACCGCAUAAGAGUAGAUGUCGCAUGACAUUUGCUUAAAAGGUGCAAUUGCAUCACUACCAGAUGGACCUGCGUUGUAUUAGCUAGUUGGUGAGGUAACGGCUCACCAAGGCAACGAUACAUAGCCGACCUGAGAGGGUGAUCGGCCACACUGGGACUGAGACACGGCCCAGACUCCUACGGGAGGCAGCAGUAGGGAAUCUUCGGCAAUGGACGGAAGUCUGACCGAGCAACGCCGCGUGAGUGAAGAAGGUUUUCGGAUCGUAAAGCUCUGUUGUAAGAGAAGAACGAGUGUGAGAGUGGAAAGUUCACACUGUGACGGUAUCUUACCAGAAAGGGACGGCUAACUACGUG
This 495-nucleotide ribosomal RNA is filed under the name uncultured bacterium. Its description in RNAcentral is "partial 16S ribosomal RNA". It matches the Rfam family "Bacterial small subunit ribosomal RNA", at positions 28 to 507 of the family's 1533-position model. The record is from RNAcentral.